GCAAGUGCAGGAAUAAUAACAAUAAUAAGGUAAAUGAAAAAACUGUUCUUGAGUUUGCCCAUA
RNAcentral lists this non-coding RNA (63 nucleotides) under Bacillus methanolicus MGA3. Lineage: Bacteria; Bacillati; Bacillota; Bacilli; Caryophanales; Bacillaceae. The record is from RNAcentral.